UUUUUUCUCGAAAGUAAAAGAUCUAAAUUGGUUUGUUAGUUUUUGUGUCAAAAAGAUUAAAUAAGCUUUUUUAGGUGUGAUAUGCUAAUCGUUUUUACUAAUAUCUAGUAACUUUAGAAAAAAAUUUAGUUUGGGUUAUGAAGGGUUUUUUUAUUUUGAAGAAUUCUUUUUUAUAAACUUAUAUCUCAGGGGAUGAGCUCUGGGGUAAAUUUAAAAGAAAAAAAGGUUUUAUAUUUUUGGUAGGCUUAGAAUUUGCCAUGAGAUAGUGUUAUAAAAUAAAACAAUAAGGUUAAGAUUUAAUUUUCUUUGAGAUUUAUAAAGUUAAUGUAGUAAUAAAAAAAUAGUUGAAAAUAUGAUAGUAUAAGUAGAUAAGAGAAUUUUGGAGAAAAUUUGAAUUCUUCAUGGAUUUUUAGAAACAAGAUUUUUAGCAAAAGAACUCGGCAAAUAAGAUUUCCGAAUGUUUAACAAAAACAUUUCCUCUCAAAAAAGGGAGGUAAGGCCUGCUCACUGAGUUUUGAAGAGCCGCAGUAUCCUGACUGUGCUAAGGUAGCAUAAUCAUUAGUCUUUUAAUUGGAGACUGGUAUGAAUGGCUAAACGAGAAAUCGACUUUUUUUGUUAUAAAAAUUGAAUUUAAUUUUUUAGUGAAAAAGCUAAAAUUUUUCAGAAAGACGAGAAGACCCUAUAGAGUUUUAUAUUUCUGUGAAUUUUUUUUUAAUGGAUUUUUUUGAAAAAAAUUUUUUGGAAAUAUUUUGUUGGGGCGACAUUUAGAUAAGUGAAACUCUUUAUUUUAAAAACUUUGUUGUAAGAAUAAAUUUGAUCCUUUAUAAGAGAUCAUAAGAAAAAAUUACCUUAGGGAUAACAGCGUAAUCUUUUUUGAGAGUUCUAAUCGACAAAAAGGUUUGCGACCUCGAUGUUGGACUAAAAUUUAGGCA
Molecule: ribosomal RNA, 932 nt
Filed under: Tetraclita squamosa
Lineage: Eukaryota; Metazoa; Arthropoda; Thecostraca; Balanomorpha; Tetraclitidae
Description: partial 16S ribosomal RNA
Rfam family: Bacterial large subunit ribosomal RNA
Source: RNAcentral